This is a long non-coding RNA of Cervus elaphus (red deer), 572 nucleotides long. RefSeq lists it as uncharacterized. The transcript is spliced from 4 exons. Lineage: Eukaryota; Metazoa; Chordata; Mammalia; Artiodactyla; Cervidae. The record is from RefSeq and is a predicted model, not a curated record.
AGCGGUCCCGUCCUCAGCGGCUCUCGGUUGCCAUCUUUCUUCCGGUUAGGGUAAUGUCGGGGCGAGUAGAAGAUUGCCGUAGAACCAUAGAGUCUCAUCGCUGAAAACGGUGGUAGAGAUCCUAUCGCUCUACGGGUUCAUUUUUGAAUGGAGAAAAAAAAAAAGGUUCCAUUCACAAUAGCAACGAUCGCAACAACAACAAUAAAAAAGAAAAACCUGUGAAGCAGGUUUGUCCCAGGUGUAGUUUAUUAAGAUGACCUCAUACUGGAGUAGGAUGGACCCCCAUCUAAUGUCUCCUUAUAAGAUGGCCAUUUGAAGACCGCACACAGAAUGCCACGUGAUGCUGAAGGCAGAAAUGGAGUCAUGCAGCUGCAAGCCAAGGGAUGGAACAGGUGGAACAUACACUGCAGGAUGCUGUCUUACGCAAAUACACAAGAAUACAGGUGCAAGGAUGGUCACUACAGUAUGGUUUAUAGCAGUGGAAAACUGGAGAUAAUCUGAAUAUCCAUCAGCAAGUUGGACUAUAAAGAAGGCUGAGCACUGAAGAAUUGAUGCUCUCAAGUUGUGGUGCU